CAGGUGUGUCUUUCCUCAGAUCCAACCUUCCUAUAAAAAAACCUAUCCUGACACAGACGAGCUUCAUUCCCAGAAAAAAUGAAGAAGAAGAAGAAGAAGUUGCUGUAGCAAGAUGUAUCUAGGGUUUUCGAGCUUUUCAACAUCUUCACUGAAUUCUUUCUUGUAGGAGAAAGUCACGCACCGUAGGCUAUUAGCUGCCAUAUCUUUAAUAAUUCUCCUAAACUGUAUUCUUUCGUUUGCAUCGAUGGCUCUUAUAAUCCCACUCGCCGGAAUAUAAAAAUUGUGGGAUGAUAAGAGCCAGCGGCGUGGACGAAAGACUACAGCAAGUUUCGAAGAAUUAUUAAAGAUAAGUCAGCUAAUAGCCUACGGCGCAUCACUUUCUCCUACAAAAAAAAAUAAAAAUUGCAGUGCGUGGAAGAAAGUAGACCGGACCGGUUUGAGAAUCCAAAACCGACUCCAUUUGUAAAGCUAGCUGAGAGGUAGGGAGGGAAGGAAGGUCUGCUUACAAGUGUAGAAGCUGUUGCAGCAAAUUUCUUAACUUUAGCUAGCUUUAUGUGGAUCAAUUGUACAGAAUUGGUAAACUACUACUAAUAAAUUGAUCUUUCAAAUCUUAAGAUGGAACUUGUGGGCAUGUCUAUUUUUUUUUAUGCAUAAUUUUGUUGUGAUUCAUAAUGUAUGUAUGAGUGUGAACAUUGUGCCUGUAACUAUUUAUUUAUUUAUUUAUUUUUUUUAAUGUGAAUGCAUA
This is a long non-coding RNA of Cornus florida, 745 nucleotides long. RefSeq lists it as uncharacterized. The transcript has 2 exons. The record is from RefSeq and is a predicted model, not a curated record. Lineage: Eukaryota; Viridiplantae; Streptophyta; Magnoliopsida; Cornales; Cornaceae.